This 538-nucleotide ribosomal RNA is filed under the name uncultured bacterium. RNAcentral's name for it is "partial 16S ribosomal RNA". It matches the Rfam family "Bacterial small subunit ribosomal RNA", at positions 28 to 523 of the family's 1533-position model. The record is from RNAcentral.
GAUGAACGCUGGCGGCGUGCCUAAUACAUGCAAGUCGAACGCUUUGUCUUUAACUGAUAUGAAGAGCUUGCUCUGAUUUGAUUUUAUCUGACAAAGAGUGGCGAACGGGUGAGUAACACGUGGGUAACCUACCUCUUAGCAGGGGAUAACAUUUGGAAACAAGUGCUAAUACCGUAUAAUACCAACAACCGCAUGGUUGUUGGUUGAAAGAUGGUUCUGCUAUCACUAAGAGAUGGACCCGCGGUGCAUUAGCUAGUUGGUAAGGUAACGGCUUACCAAGGCAAUGAUGCAUAGCCGAGUUGAGAGACUGAUCGGCCACAAUGGGACUGAGACACGGCCCAUACUCCUACGGGAGGCAGCAGUAGGGAAUCUUCCACAAUGGGCGCAAGCCUGAUGGAGCAACGCCGCGUGUGUGAUGAAGGGUUUCGGCUCGUAAAACACUGUUAUAAGAGAAGAACGGCACUGAGAGUAACUGUUCAGUGUGUGACGGUAUCUUACCAGAAAGGAACGGCUAAAUACGUGCCAGCCGCCGCGGUAA